GUAUACUGCGGUAGCUUGUCAAGACAAAUGCAAGCGAUAAGUGCUUGGAUAAAAACGGGAAAGGUGCAGCCCCAAAUUAAGAUACUUUAAUAAUGAUGGCGAAAAAUACAAGGUCGUCAUGCACGAAUUGAUCAAAGCAAAGACAACGAAGAUAUUGACUAAAUUUCGAAAAGUCAAAUGGAUCGUCCUGCUAUUAUUGACUUAUUCAUUGAAGACGUUUUCAUGGCAUAGCCUGAAACACUAUAAUGAUGGACUAGGGUUUUAUAUAUAAGGCUAGAUAAAUUUACCACAAAACCUAUAACCAACAGAGUUUCUCUGGAAAAUUUGUCGUCAAUUUACUAAGUUACAUAAAAGCGUACGAUUAUAUAAUUGCAAUUAUCCGUAACGCCUUACUGUGCUGUUGUGACGUUCGUAAAUUAUUCUAUUUUUAGUUAUUUUUGGAACACGUACAGUGCGGAAUAUCGUAACACAAUGGAA
This is a non-coding RNA of Paramuricea clavata, 477 nucleotides long. The record is from the annotation of a GenBank genome assembly. Lineage: Eukaryota; Metazoa; Cnidaria; Anthozoa; Malacalcyonacea; Plexauridae.